RNAcentral lists this ribosomal RNA (497 nucleotides) under uncultured bacterium. RNAcentral describes it as "partial 16S ribosomal RNA". It matches the Rfam family "Bacterial small subunit ribosomal RNA", at positions 28 to 507 of the family's 1533-position model. The record is from RNAcentral.
GAUGAACGCUGGCGGCGUGCCUAAUACAUGCAAGUCGAGCGAACAGACGAGGAGCUUGCUCCUCUGACGUUAGCGGCGGACGGGUGAGUAACACGUGGAUAACCUACCUUUAAGACUGGGAUAACUUCGGGAAACCGUAGCUAAUACCGGAUAAUAUAUUGAACCGCAUGGUUCAAUAUUGAAAGACGGUUUUGCUGUAACUUAUAAAUGAACCCGCGCCGCAUUAGCUAGUUGGUAAGGUAACGGCUUACCAAGGGAACGAUGCGUAGCCGACCUGAGAGGGUGAUCGGCCACACUGGAACUGAGACACGGUCCAGACUCCUACGGGAGGCAGCAGUAGGGAAUCUUCCGCAAUGGGCGAAAGCCUGACGGAGCAACGCCGCGUGAGUGAUGAAGGUCUUCGGAUCGUAAAACUCUGUUAUUAGGGAAGAACAAAUGUGUAAGUAACUAUGCACGUCUUGACGGUACCUAAUCAGAAAGCCACGGCUAACUACGUG